GUCUUCACUUUUUACUUUAUUACUCUCACUUUCGAGAUUAUCACUAACUUGAGCGUCGAAGUAUCUUUUGCAGGUAUUCCUGCCGUGGUGUUCGUUCCAGGCCGACGUAUAGCUCUUCCUCUCCGAUGGACGCUUGCUCGGAGUCGCUAAGCUCGGCCCCCAGAACCAGGACGAAUCAAUUUUAAAAAAAAAAGUUUUAUACAUUUUUAUCGGAAUGAUUCUCUACAAAGAGUCACUUAUUUCUUUCUUUUUUGGUCAAGUAGAUUGGACAACUUUUAAUCCUAGACAUUACACCCAUGCAUUAUACACUCAUACAACACACUGACACAUAUUAUAUAGAUACACACUAUUAACAUAGUUCUAUAUUCCUCCAAAAAUCGGGGAGAACGUGGCUGUUCCGGUUGAAAAAGGCGGUGGACCAGGCCUCGUAGUGGGCGGCAGCUUUGUCGUGGGUCUCCUGGAAAUGUUGUUUCUUCUCCAAGAAGAGGAUGACCUGAGAGAGGACAUAGCUGGAGACAUUAGGCACGGGGAUCACUCCAUCGCCGUCAACCACCAAACCUUCUUCAAUAGCAUCAGCGUGUCCCUUCAAAACCCCAGAUUCGGUCGUAAGGCUCUUAUCGAUCCCCACAAGUUUUAGAUCCGCCGUCCAUCUUAUUAAAUCGUUGUACGAGCUUUUUUUACCCCUUUUGUACCAAUCGUGGAGAGAGCAGCAGAUCACACUGAAUCCGCCAUCCUUCGCAAGAGUGUAAAAAUGAGCUUUCGCAAGCUCAUAAUCCUUGCGGAGCCGACUAUACUCGUCCGGCUUAAAACAGAUCUCCAAAAACCCUGGUUUACUGGGUAGACGAGAGAAAAUGAACCAAUCGCUAAAGGCUUGACAAGCAUCCGCGCUGCAGAAUCCCGAUUGCUUUCUUUGAUUUUAAUUUUCUUUUUUAUUCUGUCGUUCACGUUGUUGAUUGUUCUCAUUCUCUUUCUA
Molecule: long non-coding RNA, 973 nt
Filed under: Arachis ipaensis
Lineage: Eukaryota; Viridiplantae; Streptophyta; Magnoliopsida; Fabales; Fabaceae
Description: long non-coding RNA (AIPA_LNC001656)
Source: RNAcentral